GACGAACGCUGGCGGCGUGCUUAACACAUGCAAGUCGAACGGAAAGGCCCUGCUUUUGUGGGGUGCCCGAGUGGCGAACGGGUGAGUAACACGUGAGUAACCUGCCCUUGACUUUGGGAUAACUUCAGGAAACUGGGGCUAAUACCGGAUAGGAGCUCCUGCUGCAUGGUGGGGGUUGGAAAGUUUCGGCGGUUGGGGAUGGACUCGCGGCUUAUCAGCUUGUUGGUGGGGUAGUGGCUUACCAAGGCUUUGACGGGUAGCCGGCCUGAGAGGGUGACCGGCCACAUUGGGACUGAGAUACGGCCCAGACUCCUACGGGAGGCAGCAGUGGGGAAUAUUGCACAAUGGGCGGAAGCCUGAUGCAGCAACGCCGCGUGCGGGAUGACGGCCUUCGGGUUGUAAACCGCUUUCGCCUGUGACGAAGCGUGAGUGACGGUAAUGGGUAAAGAAGCAUCGGCUAACUACGUG
Molecule: ribosomal RNA, 468 nt
Filed under: uncultured bacterium
Lineage: Bacteria
Description: partial 16S ribosomal RNA
Rfam family: Bacterial small subunit ribosomal RNA
Source: RNAcentral